GUAACAAGGUUUCCGUAGGUGAACCUGCGGAAGGAUCAUUAAUUAUGUUAAAGCGCCUUACCUUAGGGUUUCCUCUGGGGUAAGUGAUUGCUUCUACACUGUGAAAAUUUGGCUGAGAGACUCAGACUGGUCAUGGGUAGACCUAUCUGGGGUUUGAUCGAUGCCACUCCUGGUUUCAGGAGUACCCUUCAUAAUAAACCUAGAAAUUCAGUAUUAUAAAGUUUAAUAAAAAACAACUUUUAACAAUGGAUCUCUUGGUUCUCGCAUCGAUGAAGAACGUAGCAAAGUGCGAUAACUAGUGUGAAUUGCAUAUUCAGUGAAUCAUCGAGUCUUUGAACGCAGCUUGCACUCUAUGGUUUUUCUAUAGAGUACGCCUGCUUCAGUAUCAUCACAAACCCACACAUAACAUUUGUUUAUGUGGUGAUGGGUCGCAUCGCUGUUUUAUUACAGUGAGCACCUAAAAUGUGUGUGAUUUUCUGUCUGGCUUGCUAGGCAGGAAUAUUACGCUGGUCUCAGGAUCUUUUUUUUUGGUUCGCCCAGGAAGUAAAGUACAAGAGUAUAAUCCAGUAACUUUCAAACUAUGAUCUGAAGUCAGGUGGGAUUACCCGCUGAACCUAAGCAUAUCA
This 626-nucleotide unclassified non-coding RNA is filed under the name Rhizopus arrhizus. RNAcentral describes it as "sequence contains 18S rRNA gene, ITS1, 5.8S rRNA gene, ITS2, 28S rRNA gene". The stretch from base 235 to 388 matches the Rfam family "5.8S ribosomal RNA". The record is from RNAcentral. Lineage: Eukaryota; Fungi; Mucoromycota; Mucoromycetes; Mucorales; Rhizopodaceae.